This 541-nucleotide ribosomal RNA is filed under the name Ralstonia pickettii. RNAcentral's name for it is "bacterial SSU rRNA". It matches the Rfam family "Bacterial small subunit ribosomal RNA", at positions 109 to 644 of the family's 1533-position model. Lineage: Bacteria; Pseudomonadati; Pseudomonadota; Betaproteobacteria; Burkholderiales; Burkholderiaceae. The record is from RNAcentral.
AGUAAUACAUCGGAACGAGCCCUGUAGUGGGGGAUAACUAGUCGAAAGAUUAGCUAAUACCGCAUACGACCUGAGGGUGAAAGUGGGGGACCGCAAGGCCUCAUGCUAUAGGAGCGGCCGAUGUCUGAUUAGCUAGUUGGUGGGGUAAAGGCCCACCAAGGCGACGAUCAGUAGCUGGUCUGAGAGGACGAUCAGCCACACUGGGACUGAGACACGGCCCAGACUCCUACGGGAGGCAGCAGUGGGGAAUUUUGGACAAUGGGCGAAAGCCUGAUCCAGCAAUGCCGCGUGUGUGAAGAAGGCCUUCGGGUUGUAAAGCACUUUUGUCCGGAAAGAAAUGGCUCUGGUUAAUACCUUGGGGUCGAUGACGGUACCGGAAGAAUAAGGACCGGCUAACUACGUGCCAGCAGCCGCGGUAAUACGCCCCCCCCCAAGCGGUAAUCGGAAUUACUGGGUGUAAAGCGUGCGCAGGCGGUUGUGCCAGACCGAUGUGAAAUCGCCGAGCUUAACUUGUGAAUUGCAUUGGUGACUGCGCGGCUAG